RNAcentral lists this small RNA (1169 nucleotides) under Pongo abelii (Sumatran orangutan). Its description in RNAcentral is "retained intron". The record is from RNAcentral. Lineage: Eukaryota; Metazoa; Chordata; Mammalia; Primates; Hominidae.
GAGCAGGCUUGGCGUUGAUUUGCCUCUGUGAGUGGGGAGAGCAGGGCUUUGUAUUUUCACGCUGAAAAUCACUGUCUCUCCUGGAAGAAGGAGAAACAGGUAGCCGUUGAGAGUAACGAGAUGUCAGUGUAUUCGGAACAGAACUGCUCAGUCUUCAAUUUUGGCCUUAUCUUGUCAAGGUCCUGUAGCCCAAUCCCAAAUUUCCAAGCUCUCUGGCCUGGUAUCAGUCUUGUCCUUGGUGGUGCAGGAGGCAGGGUACGGCAAAAGACAGACGGGCCCGAGCCCGCCGCCCGCUGCAGCUGCCAGGCGAUCGGAUGGGGAGGAUGGAAGCUUCGACCAGGAUAGCAGGAAGCAGAAGAGCAGCUGGCUGAUGCUCAAGGGGGAUGCAGACACAAGGACCAACUCUCCAGACCUGGACACCCAGUCCUUGUCCCACAGCAGCGGGACCGACAGAGACCCUCUCCAAAGGAUGGCAAGGGACAGCUUUCACUCACGUGAGUGGUUCUUUUGAAGAAGGAGCUGUGAUGUCCACAAAAAGCCUCGCAGCAAAGGGGCCCCAUAACUCAGAGCCAUCCCCCCAAAUCUAAGCCUUGCCUGUUAAAAAGCAUAAAAGCAAAGCCCACAAAUCUAGGGACCGACCGGAAGGAAAUAUGGGGCUUUUGCAGUUUGCCGGCUUCCCAAGAACUGUCCCUGGAACCAGUGUGCUAACGAGGGCCACGCCUGCAUGUCCCCUCACAGAUCUCCAGGGCCUGCAAGAAUGCAGAAACCCAGAUCUGCUCCUGGGCCGUUUAGGAGAAAGGCGUCCGGGCUGCCAGGUGGAAGUCAGGGCCUGUUCCCUCCAGAGCAGACAUGGGCAUGGUCCGGCUGAUGAGUGCAGACUUGGAGUUGGUAACGGGCACCAUCCCUGUCCCCUGUGACUCAUCCUGAACGAGGCAUGGCCUCAGGCUUCAUAGAGAGACAGUGAUGGCAUCUGCCUGACCCUACGGGUGUUUUGAAGACUGAAUCAGGAGUGAUUUUCAAAUGUAGAGAAAACUCCAGAUAAUGCUGUUUGCUUCCAGCCGCUGUAAAUCAUAGGUGAAAACCAGUAGCAAGCGCUCACUCAGUGCCUCCCAGAUGCAGCGUGCGGGUCUCAGCUGGGCUGGGGGCAGUUUUCAAUGGGCAAGGCUUGG